AGAGUUUAGUCAUGGCUCAGGAUGAACGCUAGCGGCAGGCUUAACACAUGCAAGUCGAGGGGUAACAUUAGUGCUUGCACUAGAUGACGACCGGCGCACGGGUGCGUAACGCGUAUAGAAUCUACCUUUUACAGGGGGAUAGCCUUUAGAAAUGAAGAUUAAUAUCCCAUGGUAUUGCGAAGUGGCAUCACUUUGUAAUUAAAGAUUUAUCGGUAAAAGAUGACUAUGCGUCCUAUUAGUUAGUUGGUAAGGUAACGGCUUACCAAGACUUCGAUAGGUAGGGGUCCUGAGAGGGAGAUCCCCCACACUGGUACUGAGACACGGACCAGACUCCUACGGGAGGCAGCAGUGAGGAAUAUUGGGCAAUGGAGGUAACUCUGACCCAGCCAUGCCGCGUGCAGGAAGACUGCCCUAUGGGUUGUAAACUGCUUUUAUACAGGAAGAAACACUGCUACGUGUAGCAGCUUGACGGUACUGUAAGAAUAAGGACCGGCUAACUCCGUGCCAGCA
This 510-nucleotide ribosomal RNA is filed under the name uncultured Bacteroidota bacterium. Its description in RNAcentral is "bacterial SSU rRNA". It matches the Rfam family "Bacterial small subunit ribosomal RNA", at positions 8 to 513 of the family's 1533-position model. Lineage: Bacteria; Pseudomonadati; Bacteroidota. The record is from RNAcentral.